Molecule: ribosomal RNA, 433 nt
Filed under: uncultured bacterium
Lineage: Bacteria
Description: partial 16S ribosomal RNA
Rfam family: Bacterial small subunit ribosomal RNA
Source: RNAcentral
AACGAACGCUGGCGGCAUGCCUAACACAUGCAAGUCGAACGAGACCGUCGGGUCUAGGUGCGCACGUGUGCGUAACGCCGGGUAACCUGCCCGUAGGUUCGGAAUAACUCCCCGAGAGGGGUGCUAAGACCGGUGAAUGUCUUCGGGCCAAAGAGUUAUCGCCGUUGGCUGGGCCCGGGUUGGAUUAGCUGGUUGGUAGGGUAAAAGCCUACCAAGGGGACGAUGCAGAGCUGGUAGGAGAGGAUGCUCAGUCACAAUGGGAAUGAGACACGGCCCAGAAUCGUACGGGACGGAGCAGUGGAGUAUAUUGGACAAGGAGCGAAAGCCUGAUCCCGCCACGCCGCGGGAGUGAUGAAGGGCGUAGGGUUGUAAAGCUCCUUUACACGGGAUGAUAAUGACAGUAACGGGAGAAUAAGCACCGGCUAACUACGUG